UGAUUGUUUAAAGGAGAGUUGGCGAACUGCCACGCCGAAGGAGCAAGAAGGUUAUUAUCCUAUAAUCUUUGAAUCUCUCAGGCCCACGUACUUUAACAAGACG
RNAcentral lists this non-coding RNA (103 nucleotides) under Desulfuribacillus stibiiarsenatis. Its description in RNAcentral is "Glycine riboswitch aptamer". It matches the Rfam family "Glycine riboswitch aptamer". From Rfam's summary of the family: This family represents the bacterial glycine riboswitch. The record is from Rfam by way of RNAcentral. RNAcentral also lists the same sequence under 1 other name. Lineage: Bacteria; Bacillati; Bacillota; Desulfuribacillia; Desulfuribacillales; Desulfuribacillaceae.